RNAcentral lists this ribosomal RNA (253 nucleotides) under uncultured bacterium. RNAcentral describes it as "partial 16S ribosomal RNA". It matches the Rfam family "Bacterial small subunit ribosomal RNA", at positions 524 to 776 of the family's 1533-position model. The record is from RNAcentral.
UACGUAGGGUGCAAGCGUUGUCCGGAAUUAUUGGGCGUAAAGCGCGUGUAGGCGGUUGCCAAAGUCGGGUGUGAAAGCCUUGAGCUCAACUCAAGAAAUGCACUCGAUACUUGGUGACUAGAGGACCGGAGAGGAUAGUGGAAUUCCCAGUGUAGUGGUGAAAUACGUAGAUAUCUGGAGGAAUACCGGUGGCGAAGGCGGCAUCCUGGACCGAGAUUGACGCUGAUGAGCGAAAGCUAGGGGAGCAAACGGG